Molecule: ribosomal RNA, 575 nt
Filed under: uncultured Alphaproteobacteria bacterium
Lineage: Bacteria; Pseudomonadati; Pseudomonadota; Alphaproteobacteria
Description: partial 16S ribosomal RNA
Rfam family: Bacterial small subunit ribosomal RNA
Source: RNAcentral
GUCGCAUGCUUUCGGCCGCCAUGGCGGCCGCGGGAAUUCGAUUAGAGUUGAUCAUGGCUCAGAAUGAACGCUGGCGGCAUGCCUAACACAUGCAAGUCGAACGAAGGCUUCGGCCUUAGUGGCGCACGGGUGCGUAACGCGUGGGAAUCUGCCCUCAGGUUCGGAAUAACAGCGAGAAAUUGCUGCUAAUACCGGAUGAUAUCGCGAGAUCAAAGAUUUAUCGCCUGAGGAUGAGCCCGCGUAGGAUUAGCUAGUUGGUGUGGUAAAGGCGCACCAAGGCGACGAUCCUUAGCUGGUCUGAGAGGAUGAUCAGCCACACUGGGACUGAGACACGGCCCAGACUCCUACGGGAGGCAGCAGUGGGGAAUAUUGGACAAUGGGCGAAAGCCUGAUCCAGCAAUGCCGCGUGAGUGAUGAAGGCCUUAGGGUUGUAAAGCUCUUUUACCCGGGAUGAUAAUGACAGUACCGGGAGAAUAAGCUCCGGCUAACUCCGUGCCAGCAGCCGCGGUAAUACGAAUCACUAGUGAAUUCGCGGCCGCCUGCAGGUCGACCAUAUGGGAGCGCCCCCAACGCGU